This 176-nucleotide ribosomal RNA is filed under the name uncultured Actinomycetes bacterium. Its description in RNAcentral is "uncultured actinobacterium partial 16S ribosomal RNA". It matches the Rfam family "Bacterial small subunit ribosomal RNA", at positions 338 to 524 of the family's 1533-position model. The record is from RNAcentral. Lineage: Bacteria; Bacillati; Actinomycetota; Actinomycetes.
CCUACGGGAGGCAGCAGUAGGGAAUCUUGCGCAAUGGGCGAAAGCCUGACGCAGCGACGCCGCGUGUGGGAUGAAUGCCUUCGGGUUGUAAACCACUUUCAGCAGGGACGAAGCCUCACGGUGACGGUACCUGCAGAAGAAGCCCCGGCUAACUACGUGCCAGCAGCCGCGGUAAU